Molecule: long non-coding RNA, 510 nt
Filed under: Nicotiana benthamiana
Lineage: Eukaryota; Viridiplantae; Streptophyta; Magnoliopsida; Solanales; Solanaceae
Description: long non-coding RNA (NBEN_LNC029792)
Source: RNAcentral
AUAACAUGAAAAUAUUCAUAAGUUAAUAUAACUUAACAUAUAACUUGGAAACAAAAAUUAUAUAUAAACUGAACGAUAUUUAUUAAGGAUAGAAUGGGCUUAUUCACGCAAAUACACAAAAAGAUGAUAAAGAUUAGAAUGGAACUUUGCUCAGUAUUCUCCAAACGAAAAAAUCCAAAUCGAACCGGCCACAACUAGCUAUUGACUGAACAUUGAACCGACGACCUCGAUGGAUUGAACCUCGCUACUCGAAGGGAAAGAGGUUCGUGCCAUGUGCCAUGAAUUCUCAUGGUUGUAUUAGGACUGGUUUUGAGGUGUUUAAGGUGAAAUAGAGCUCGCCGGAAGUAGUGAAAUUCCGACGAGACAGCAAGCUAACAAAUCUGUAGCUGCGUUUUCUAUUGAAAGCGAUGAGAAGAAGAAGACGCCAUCGUUUUUCCUUUGUAAAAAUCCCUCCCUUCUUUCCUUGCUAUUCUUUUUCAAUUUUCCUCACUUCUCAAUCUUCUCAUUUUU